Molecule: ribosomal RNA, 672 nt
Filed under: uncultured Staphylococcus sp.
Lineage: Bacteria; Bacillati; Bacillota; Bacilli; Caryophanales; Staphylococcaceae
Description: bacterial SSU rRNA
Rfam family: Bacterial small subunit ribosomal RNA
Source: RNAcentral
AGCGAACAGACGAGGAGCUUGCUCCUCUGACGUUAGCGGCGGACGGGUGAGUAACACGCGGAUAACCUACCUAUAAGAUUGGGAUAACUUCGGGAAACCGGAGCUAAUACCGGAUAAUAUAUUGAACCGCAUGGUUCAAUAGUGAAAGACGGUUUUGCUGUCACUUAUAGAUGGAUCCGCGCCGCAUUAGCUAGUUGGUAAGGUAACAGCUUACCAAGGCGACGAUGCGUAGCCGACCUGAGAGGGUGAUCGGCCACACUGGAACUGAGACACGGUCCAGACUCCUACGGGAGGCAGCAGUAGGGAAUCUUCCGCAAUGGGCGAAAGCCUGACGGAGCAACGCCGCGUGAGUGAUGAAGGUCUUCGGAUCGUAAAACUCUGUUAUUAGGGAAGAACAAAUGUGUAAGUAACUAUGCACGUCUUGACGGUACCUAAUCAGAAAGCCACGGCUAACUACGUGCCAGCAGCCGCGGUAAUACGUAGGUGGCAAGCGUUAUCCGGAAUUAUUGGGCGUAAAGCGCGCGUAGGCGGUUUUUUAAGUCUGAUGUGAAAGCCCACGGCUCAACCGUGGAGGGUCAUUGGAAACUGGAAAACUUGAGUGCAGAAGAGGAAAGUGGAAUUCCAUGUGUAGCGGUGAAAUGCGCAGAGAUAUGGAGGAACACCAGUGGCGAA